Molecule: transfer RNA, 89 nt
Filed under: Actinomycetota bacterium
Lineage: Bacteria; Bacillati; Actinomycetota
Description: tRNA-Ser
Rfam family: tRNA
About the family: Transfer RNA (tRNA) molecules are approximately 80 nucleotides in length. Their secondary structure includes four short double-helical elements and three loops (D, anti-codon, and T loops).
Source: RNAcentral
GGAGGCUUCGCCUAGUCUGGUCUAUGGCGCGGGAUUGCUAAUCCCGUUGGGGCUCAAGCCCCUCGAGGGUUCGAAUCCCUCAGCCUCCG